This 1265-nucleotide ribosomal RNA is filed under the name metagenome. Its description in RNAcentral is "bacterial LSU rRNA". It matches the Rfam family "Bacterial large subunit ribosomal RNA", at positions 1669 to 2925 of the family's 2925-position model. The record is from RNAcentral.
AGAUGAGUAUUCUCAGGCGCUUGAGAGAACUCGGGAGAAGGAACUCGGCAAAUUGACACCGUAACUUCGGAAGAAGGUGUGCCUUUAGUAGGUGAACCCGUACAGGGGGAGCCCAAUGAGGUUGCAAAGAAUCGGUGGCUGCGACUGUUUAAUAAAAACACAGCACUCUGCAAACACGAAAGUGGACGUAUAGGGUGUGACGCCUACCCGGUGCUGGAAGAUUAAGUGAUGGGGUGCAAGCUCUUGAUCGAAGUCCCAGUAAACGGCGGCCGUAACAAUAACGGUCCUAAGGUAGCGAAAUUCCUUGUCGGGUAAGUUCCGACCUGCACGAAUGGCGUAACGAUGGCCACACUGUCUCCUCCCGAGACUCAGCGAAGUUGAAAUGUUUGUGAUGAUGCAAUCUCCCCGCGGAAAGACGGAAAGACCCCAUGAACCUUUACUGUAGCUUUGUAUUGGACUUUGAACGGAUCUGUGUAGGAUAGGUGGGAGGCUUUGAAGCAGUGUCGCUAGAUCUUGUGGAGCCAACGUUGAAAUACCACCCUGGUGCGUUUGAGGUUCUAACCUAGGCCCGUUAUCCGGGUCGGGGACAGUGCAUGGUAGGCAGUUUGACUGGGGCGGUCUCCUCCCAAAGCGUAACGGAGGAGUUCGAAGGUACGCUAGUUACGGUCGGACAUCGUGACGAUAGUGCAAUGGCAUAAGCGUGCUUAACUGCGAGACUGACAAGUCGAGCAGAUGCGAAAGCAGGACAUAGUGAUCCGGUGGUUCUGUAUGGAAGGGCCAUCGCUCAACGGAUAAAAGGUACUCUGGGGAUAACAGGCUGAUACCGCCCAAGAGUUCAUAUCGACGGCGGUGUUUGGCACCUCGAUGUCGGCUCAUCUCAUCCUGGGGCUGUAGCCGGUCCCAAGGGUAUGGCUGUUCGCCAUUUAAAGAGGUACGUGAGCUGGGUUUAAAACGUCGUGAGACAGUUUGGUCCCUAUCUUCCGUGGGCGCUGCAGAUUUGAGGAAGCCUGCUCCUAGUACGAGAGGACCGGAGUGGACGCACCUCUGGUGUACCUGUUGUCACGCCAGUGGCAUUGCAGGGUAGCUAAGUGCGGAAGAGAUAACCGCUGAAAGCAUCUAAGCGGGAAACUCGUUUCAAGAUGAGAUCUGCCGGGGCCUUGAGCCCCCUGAAGAGUCGUUCUAGACCAGGACGUUGAUAGGCUGGGUGUGGAAGCGCAGUAAUGCGUUAAGCUAACCAGUACUAAUUGCUCGUGCGGCUUGACCCU